Molecule: ribosomal RNA, 465 nt
Filed under: uncultured Trichococcus sp.
Lineage: Bacteria; Bacillati; Bacillota; Bacilli; Lactobacillales; Carnobacteriaceae
Description: bacterial SSU rRNA
Rfam family: Bacterial small subunit ribosomal RNA
Source: RNAcentral
CCUACGGGGGGCUGCAGUAGGGAAUCUUCCGCAAUGGACGAAAGUCUGACGGAGCAACGCCGCGUGAGUGAAGAAGGUUUUCGGAUCGUAAAACUCUGUUGUCAGAGAAGAACAAGUUGGAGAGUAACUGCUCCAGCCUUGACGGUAUCUGACCAGAAAGCCACGGCUAACUACGUGCCAGCAGCCGCGGUAAUACGUAGGUGGCAAGCGUUGUCCGGAUUUAUUGGGCGUAAAGCGAGCGCAGGCGGUUCCUUAAGUCUGAUGUGAAAGCCCACGGCUCAACCGUGGAAGGUCAUUGGAAACUGGGGAACUUGAGUGCAGAAGAGGAGAGUGGAAUUCCAUGUGUAGCGGUGAAAUGCGUAGAUAUAUGGAGGAACACCAGUGGCGAAGGCGACUCUCUGGUCUGUAACUGACGCUGAGGCUCGAAAGCGUGGGGAGCAAACAGGAUUAGAUACCCCAGUAGUC